This 72-nucleotide transfer RNA is filed under the name Thermoplasmata archaeon HGW-Thermoplasmata-1. RNAcentral describes it as "tRNA-Thr". It matches the Rfam family "tRNA". Rfam says of the family: Transfer RNA (tRNA) molecules are approximately 80 nucleotides in length. Their secondary structure includes four short double-helical elements and three loops (D, anti-codon, and T loops). The record is from RNAcentral. Lineage: Archaea; Methanobacteriati; Thermoplasmatota; Thermoplasmata.
GCCGCUGUGGCUUAGAGGUAUAGCGACUCCUUGGUAAGGAGUAGGUCGCGUGUUCAAUUCACGCCAGCGGCU